RNAcentral lists this ribosomal RNA (301 nucleotides) under uncultured bacterium. Its description in RNAcentral is "partial 16S ribosomal RNA". It matches the Rfam family "Bacterial small subunit ribosomal RNA", at positions 509 to 807 of the family's 1533-position model. The record is from RNAcentral.
CAGUAGCCGCGGUAAUACGGAGGGUGCAAGCGUUAAUCGGAAUUACUGGGCGUAAAGCGCACGCAGGCGGUCUGUCAAGUCAGAUGUGAAAUCCCCGGGCUUAACCUGGGAACUGCAUUUGAAACUGGCAGGCUAGAGUCUUGUAGAGGGGGGUAGAAUUCCAGGUGUAGCGGUGAAAUGCGUAGAGAUCUGGAGGAAUACCGAUGGCGAAGGCAGCCAUCUGGCCUAAUACUGACGCUGAGGUACGAAAGCAUGGGGAGCAAACAGGAUUAGAUACCCCGGUAGUCCCUGUCUCUUAUAC